UACGAAGGGGGCUAGCGUUGUUCGGAAUUACUGGGCGUAAAGGGCGCGUAGGCGGCCCUGUCAGUCAGGCGUGAAAGCCCCGGGCUCAACCUGGGAACUGCGCUUGAUACUGCAGGGCUUGAGUUCCGGAGAGGAUGGUGGAAUUCCCAGUGUAGAGGUGAAAUUCGUAGAUAUUGGGAAGAACACCAGUGGCGAAGGCGGUUCUCUGGGCAUUACCUGACGCUGAGGCGCGAAAGCGUGGGUAGCAAACAGG
RNAcentral lists this ribosomal RNA (253 nucleotides) under uncultured bacterium. RNAcentral describes it as "partial 16S ribosomal RNA". It matches the Rfam family "Bacterial small subunit ribosomal RNA", at positions 524 to 776 of the family's 1533-position model. The record is from RNAcentral.